AUUGAACGCUGGCGGCAUGCCUUACACAUGCAAGUCGAACGGCAGCGGGGACUUCGGUCCGCCGGCGAGUGGCGAACGGGUGAGUAAUGUAUCGGAACGUACCAUUGAGUGGGGGAUAACUAUCCGAAAGGAUAGCUAAUACCGCAUAUUCUCUCCGGAGGAAAGCAGGGGACCGCAAGGCCUUGCGCUCAUUGAGCGGCCGAUAUCAGAUUAGCUAGUUGGUGAGGUAAAGGCUCACCAAGGCGACGAUCUGUAGCGGGUCUGAGAGGAUGAUCCGCCACACGUGAACUUAGACACGGUCCAGACUCCUACGGGAGGCAGCAGUGGGGAAUUUUGGACAAUGGGGGCAACCCUGAUCCAGCCAUGCCGCGUGAGUGAGGAAGGCCUUCGGGUUGUAAAGCUCUUUCGGCCGGGAAAAAAUCGCAUGGGUUAAUACCCUGUGUGGAUGAUGGUACCGGAAUAAGAAGCACCGGCUAACUACGUGCCAGCCGCCGCGGUAA
This 500-nucleotide ribosomal RNA is filed under the name uncultured bacterium. RNAcentral's name for it is "partial 16S ribosomal RNA". It matches the Rfam family "Bacterial small subunit ribosomal RNA", at positions 30 to 523 of the family's 1533-position model. The record is from RNAcentral.